This is a long non-coding RNA of Bos taurus (domestic cattle), 956 nucleotides long. Lineage: Eukaryota; Metazoa; Chordata; Mammalia; Artiodactyla; Bovidae. The record is from Ensembl.
ACUCCCCCUCCUCUUUGGCCCAGAGCAGUGGGCUUUUCUCAACCGCAGAAGUUAGGUGACAAAGCAAGAGUUCCUCCCUCCAGUAACUGCUUGCUCCGGGAGUCACUGGGACUCUAGGAUCAGGUGGCUUUCCAGGUCCCCAGGGGAGAGAGGAAGACGCUGAAAGGACCUGGCCAACAGCCCCAGAUCUGAGGUGCUGGCUCCUGACCGAGGUGGUUCUUCGUUCUUGCCUGAGCUUCUUCUGGACAAGCCCUACCCAGAGGAUGGCCACGCCCUGAGCUCCACCGCAGGGCUCUUCCUUGACACCGGAGGUCCCUGAUGGGAGCACAGGAUGGACUCGGACCAGGCAGGCUCCCCCACCAACCACACCACACGCCCGUCACAGAGCUGGACCACAACUCUUCCUUCUUCACACAGUUGUCUGGGAGUCUCUAAAAUUAAACCUCUCUCAGACACACACGCACACACACACACUUUGCUUUAAAUGUCCUCAGAAUAGAACUCCUCUUUGCUUUCAGGGAAAAGUUCAAAGCUUUAAAUGGCUUGCAAAGCCCUUUGGAUUUGACCUCUUGCCCUUAACACUCUCCACACCCCAGCCCCUUGGCGCUUCUUUGGGUCCCUUGAGCAACGAAGCUCUUUUCUCCUCAGACGCCAGCAGACUGGGUCUCUCCCCCUCCUCUUCCUCCACUCCGAGCAGAGUCCGCUUCUUACCAUCCCUCAGGUGCGUGCUCAGUCGCUAAGUCGUGUCCGACUGUUUGCGACCCCAUGAACUAUAGCCCUCCAGGCUCCUCUGUCCGUGGGAUUUCCCAGGCAAGACUAUCAGAGUGGGUUGCCAUUUCUUUCUCCAGGGGAUCUUCCUAACCCAGGGAUCAAACCCAGGUCUCCUGUGUCUCCUGCAUUGGCAGGCAAACUGUGCCACCUGGGAAGUCCCAAUCCUUCAGGUGUCACUUCAGUAU